RNAcentral lists this ribosomal RNA (497 nucleotides) under uncultured bacterium. RNAcentral describes it as "partial 16S ribosomal RNA". It matches the Rfam family "Bacterial small subunit ribosomal RNA", at positions 28 to 507 of the family's 1533-position model. The record is from RNAcentral.
GAGGAACGCUGGCGGCGUGCCUAAUACAUGCAAGUCGAGCGAACAGACGAGGAGCUUGCUCCUCUGACGUUAGCGGCGGACGGGUGAGUAACACGUGGAUAACCUACCUAUAAGACUGGGAUAACUUCGGGAAACCGGAGCUAAUACCGGAUAAUAUAUUGAACCGCAUGGUUCAAUAGUGAAAGACGGUUUUGCUGUCACUUAUAGAUGGAUCCGCGCUGCAUUAGCUAGUUGGUAAGGUAACGGCUUACCAAGGCAACGAUGCGUAGCCGACCUGAGAGGGUGAUCGGCCACACUGGAACUGAGACACGGUCCAGACUCCUACGGGAGGCAGCAGUAGGGAAUCUUCCGCAAUGGGCGAAAGCCUGACGGAGCAACGCCGCGUGAGUGAUGAAGGUCUUCGGAUCGUAAAACUCUGUUAUUAGGGAAGAACAUAUGUGUAAGUAACUAUGCACGUCUUGACGGUACCUAAUCAGAAAGCCACGGCUAACUACGUG